CUCGGUAGGAAGGGGUAAAAUCCUUUGAUCUAUUGAUGACCACCUGUGGCGAAGGCGGUCUACCAGAACACGUCCGACGGUGAGGGAUGAAAGCUGGGGGAGCAAACCGGAUUAGAUACCCGGGUAGUCCCAGCUGUAAACUAUGCAAACUCAGUGAUGCAUUGGCUUGUGGCCAAUGCAGUGCUGCAGGGAAGCCGUUAAGUUUGCCGCCUGGGAAGUACGUACGCAAGUAUGAAACUUAAAGGAAUUGGCGGGGGAGCACCACAAGGGGUGAAGCCUGCGGUUCAAUUGGAGUCAACGCCAGAAAUCUUACCCGGAGAGACAGCAGAAUGAAGGUCAAGCUGAAGACUUUACCAGACAAGCUGAGAGGUGGUGCAUGGCCGUCGCCAGCUCGUGCCGUGAGAUGUCCUGUUAAGUCAGGUAACGAGCGAGAUCCCUGCCUCUAGUUGCCACCAUUACUCUCAGGAGUAGUGGGGCGAAUUAGCGGGACCGCCGCAGUUAAUGCGGAGGAAGGAAGGGGCCACGGCAGGUCAGUAUGCCCCGAAACUCUGGGGCCACACGCGGGCUGCAAUGGUAUGACAAUGGGUUCCGAAUCCGAAAGGAGGAGGUAAUCCUCAAACAUUACCACAGUUAUGACUGAGGGCUGCAACUCGCCCUCACGAAUAUGGAAUCCCUAGUAACUGCGUGUCAUUAUCGCGCGGUG
This 703-nucleotide ribosomal RNA is filed under the name uncultured crenarchaeote. Its description in RNAcentral is "bacterial SSU rRNA". It matches the Rfam family "Archaeal small subunit ribosomal RNA", at positions 618 to 1320 of the family's 1478-position model. Lineage: Archaea; Thermoproteati; Thermoproteota. The record is from RNAcentral.